AAUCUAUGGUGUGGCCACUUCUGAAUCAACAUCUUGAAACGCUCCCAUGCUUUGUCAAGGCUUUCUCCUUCUAACAAUUUGAACAUCGAAAUUUUUCUUUCUUAGCU
Small nucleolar RNA from Gossypium raimondii (Peruvian cotton), 107 nucleotides. It matches the Rfam family "Plant small nucleolar RNA R71". From Rfam's summary of the family: R71 is a member of the C/D box family of snoRNAs containing the C (UGAUGA) and D (CUGA) box motifs. Multiple nearly identical copies of this snoRNA have been identified in Arabidopsis, and it is thought to function as a 2'-O-ribose methylation guide for 18S ribosomal RNA. The record is from Rfam. NCBI's taxonomy places the organism in Eukaryota, Viridiplantae, Streptophyta, Magnoliopsida, Malvales, Malvaceae.